Molecule: ribosomal RNA, 252 nt
Filed under: uncultured bacterium
Lineage: Bacteria
Description: partial 16S ribosomal RNA
Rfam family: Bacterial small subunit ribosomal RNA
Source: RNAcentral
UACGUAGGUCCCGAGCGUUGUCCGGAUUUAGUGGGCGUAAAGCGAGCGCAGGUGGUUUAUUAAGUCUGGUGUAAAAGGCAGUGGCUCAACCAUUGUAUGCAUUGGAAACUGGUAGACUUGAGUGCAGGAGAGGAGAGUGGAAUUCCAUGUGUAGCGGUGAAAUGCGUAGAUAUAUGGAGGAACACCGGUGGCGAAGGCGGCUUGCUGGACGAAAACUGACGUUGAGGCUCGAAAGCGUGGGGAGCAAACAGG